RNAcentral lists this ribosomal RNA (253 nucleotides) under uncultured bacterium. RNAcentral describes it as "partial 16S ribosomal RNA". It matches the Rfam family "Bacterial small subunit ribosomal RNA", at positions 524 to 776 of the family's 1533-position model. The record is from RNAcentral.
UACGUAGGGGGCAAGCGUUGUCCGGAAUCAUUGGGCGUAAAGAGCGUGUAGGCGGCCAGAUAAGUCCGCUGUGAAAACUCGAGGCUCAACUUCGAGCUGUCGGCGGAAACCAUCUGGCUAGAGUCCGGAAGAGGAGAGUGGAAUUCCUGGUGUAGCGGUGAAAUGCGCAGAUAUCAGGAAGAACACCCGUGGCGAAGGCGGCUCUCUGGGACGGUACUGACGCUGAGACGCGAAAGCGUGGGGAGCGAACAGG